RNAcentral lists this long non-coding RNA (1612 nucleotides) under Mus caroli (Ryukyu mouse). RNAcentral's name for it is "lncRNA (MGP_CAROLIEiJ_G0005056.1)". The record is from RNAcentral. Lineage: Eukaryota; Metazoa; Chordata; Mammalia; Rodentia; Muridae.
AAGAUAGGGCCCCCCAUGGUGGUCCUGGUUUUUCUCCCAGCAGGCUGCCUGGAGACAUUUGGCAGAACCUAAGGAAGACAGAGGCCUCCUGGGGAAUUGGUAUCUGUCUAGCAUAAAACGGACACCUCUGUGCUGACUGCUGACGCGGAUCUGAAGGACACCGCCCACUGGCUCCCCAUUCUCUCUGACCCUCCCUCCUCCCCUCCUCGUCCAGUCUUCUGCUGAUGAAGCUGAAGAUCUUCCCACUCCAAGAAUCCUGGCCAUCCCCCUUCACCAGCAGUGAACUUCUUAGGCUCUAAGGCUCUGACCUGGACUCCAAGAUAAAUAUUUAAUGUAGAGGGUGCCGCUGAGCUGCCGAAGGUCCCAACUUCCUGUUUCUCACAAGAGAAGGCACAGUGUUGUGGGCAAGGGAGCUGAGGACUGGCUACCAGUCCCAUCUCUAUGGGGAUGGGGAGUCCAGUAAACAGUCUUGGAGGAUGCAGGUUGGGAGGAAUGGGGAGGGUGGCAAUGGAGGGCUGAGCUGCUGCAGCUCUGCUUUGCCACUCAGGCCGGGGGCUGGCUCGCCACCUCUCAGGUUGGAGCUCACAAGUAUUCGGUUGGCUUUACAAAACACAGGAGGCACGAGGCGCUAGGACCGCAGGGCAGAAGGGAGUAGCCAAGAACACAACACGGACUCUUCUAGAGUCCGUAACCAACCCAGCAGUGAGGAGCUGAAGCCAAGUCACCAUAGAUGAUAUACUAGCACAGAUCUCGACUCUGUUUCAUCCCUGGGGCCAUCUCCUGAUUCCAGACAUACUGACAGUGAAAACAGAAGAAUGCUGGGAAAGCAGCUGCCAUUAAGGUCCUUUGCAGAUGGGUUGGUUCAUCUGGGGUUAGGAACUGAAAGCAAAGAAUCUGGCAACAGCUGAAGAGGGGACUUUAAGCAACUUUAAGAAAACCUCUCAGUAUUAUUAUUUUAAAAGGUUUAUUGCAUUUACUUGUUUAUUUUGUUUGUUCCACAAUGUUGUGUGAAGGUCAGAGGAUGACUUUUGUAAAUUGGUUUUCUUCUUCCUGGGGAUCAAACUUAAGUAAGCAGGCUAAGCAAUCUCACUAGCCCACCCUUAUUAUUACUUUUAAAAGGAACUUUAUUAGAACACAUGAAAAUGAACCCAGGAGUGGAGGCCCAGGGGCAGUAGAGGGCUUUCACAGCAUGUGCAAGGCAGGGGGUUCAAUCUUAUGUAUCACACACACACACCCACCCACACACACUCUACAAUCAUAGAGCUCAGAAACCGAAAGGAAGUAAAUUAUUAUGGAGGCAGUUCCACCUGGACCUUAAAAAUCACUAGGUUUGGGCUGUUCUCUUGGAAGUCCAAGUUUCCCUCAGAAGAGAAGCAAUUUUAGCCAUUGAGAUUGGUACUGAGCAGAAAGGGGAAAAACUGAAAGACAUUUUUUUUUUUUUUUUUUUGAGACAGGGUUUCUCUGUGUAGCCCUGGCUGUCCUGGACAACUCACUUUGUAGACCAGGCUGGCCUCGAACUCAGAAAUUCACCUGCCUCUGCCUCCCAAGUGCUGGGAUUAAAGGUGUGCGCCACCACGCCCGGCUAUUGAAAGACAUUUUUGAGUUAUGUCGU